This 465-nucleotide ribosomal RNA is filed under the name uncultured Klebsiella sp. RNAcentral's name for it is "bacterial SSU rRNA". It matches the Rfam family "Bacterial small subunit ribosomal RNA", at positions 338 to 795 of the family's 1533-position model. The record is from RNAcentral. Lineage: Bacteria; Pseudomonadati; Pseudomonadota; Gammaproteobacteria; Enterobacterales; Enterobacteriaceae.
CCUACGGGUGGCUGCAGUGGGGAAUAUUGCACUAUGGGCGCAAGCCUGAUGCAGCCAUGCCGCGUGUGUGAAGAAGGCCUUCGGGUUGUAAAGCACUUUCAGCGGGGAGGAAGGCGGUGAGGUUAAUAACCUCAUCGAUUGACGUUACCCGCAGAAGAAGCACCGGCUAACUCCGUGCCAGCAGCCGCGGUAAUACGGAGGGUGCAAGCGUUAAUCGGAAUUACUGGGCGUAAAGCGCACGCAGGCGGUCUGUCAAGUCGGAUGUGAAAUCCCCGGGCUCAACCUGGGAACUGCAUUCGAAACUGGCAGGCUAGAGUCUUGUAGAGGGGGGUAGAAUUCCAGGUGUAGCGGUGAAAUGCGUAGAGAUCUGGAGGAAUACCGGUGGCGAAGGCGGCCCCCUGGACAAAGACUGACGCUCAGGUGCGAAAGCGUGGGGAGCAAACAGGAUUAGAUACCCUAGUAGUC